AGCUCCAAUAGCGUAUAUUAAAGUUGUCGUGAUGGUUACGCCUAUCGUUUACUGUGAAGAAAUUAGGGUGUUCAAAGCAGGCUUAUGCCAUGAAUACGUUAGCAUGGAAUAAUGAGAUAGGAUUUCGGUACUAUUUUGUUGGUUUGUGUACGGAAAUAAUGAUUAACAGGAACAGUGUUGUGGGUAUUCGUAUUUCGUUGUCAGAGGUGAAAUUCUUGGAUUUACGAAAGACGAACGACUGCGAAAGCAUUUACCAAGGAUGUUUUCAUUA
RNAcentral lists this ribosomal RNA (271 nucleotides) under Leptocylindrus sp. RNAcentral describes it as "partial small subunit ribosomal RNA". The stretch from base 35 to 270 matches the Rfam family "Eukaryotic small subunit ribosomal RNA", at positions 738 to 974 of the family's 1831-position model. Lineage: Eukaryota; Bacillariophyta; Leptocylindrophyceae; Leptocylindrales; Leptocylindraceae. The record is from RNAcentral.